GGGGAGAAUGAGAGUUCUACCAUUGAACUGAAUGACUCCUUUGAUGAGACCAGCAUGCGUUUUGUGCGGCGCAUCCAGGAGUCUGAGGUGAAGGAGGCUUUAAAAAGGAUGAAAGGAGGCAAGGCGAUGGGCCCUGAUUGUAUCCCCAUUGAGGUGUGGAAAGGUCUCGGGGACAUAGCGAUAGUAUGGCUAACCAAGCUUUUCAACCUCAUUUUUCGGGCAAACAAGAUGCCAGAAGAAUGGAGACGGAGUAUAUUAGUACCAAUCUUCAAGAACAAGGGGGAUGUUCAGAGUUGUACUAAUUACCGUGGAAUUAAGCUGAUGAGCCAUACAAUGAAGCUAUGGGAGAGAAUCAUUGAGCACCGCUUAAGAAGAAUGACAAGCGUGACCAAAAAUCAGUUUGGUUUCAUGCCUGGGAGGUCGACCAUGGAAGCCAUUUUCUUGGUACGACAACUUAUGGAGAGAUAUAGGGAGCAUAAGAAGGACUUGCAUAUGGUGUUCAUUGACUUGGAGAAGGCCUAUGAUAAGAUACCGCGGAAUGUCAUGUGGUGGGCCUUGGAGAAACACAAAGUCCUAGCAAAGUACAUUACCCUCAUCAAGGACAUGUACAAUAAUGUUGUGACAAGUGUUCGAACAAGUGAUGUCGACACCGAUGACUUCCCGAUUAAGAUAGGACUGCAUCAGGGGUCAGCUUUGAGCCCUUAUCUUUUUGCAUUGGUGAUGGAUGAGGUCACAAGGGGUAUACAAGGAGAUAUCCCAUGGUGUAUGCUCUUUGCGGAUGAUGUGGUGCUAGUUGACGAUAGUCGGACGGGGGUAAAUAGGAAAUUAGAGUUAUGGAGACAAACCUUGGAAUCGAAAGGGUUUAGGCUUAGUAGAACUAAAACCGAGUACAUGAUGUGCGGUUUCAGUACUACUAGCUGUGAGGAGGAGGAGGUUAGCCUUGAUGGCCAGGUGGUACCUCGGAAGGACACCUUUCGGUAUUUGGGGUCAAUGUUGCAGGAGGAUGGGGGUAUUGAUGAAGAUGUGAACCAUCGAAUCAAAGCCGGAUGGAUGAAGUGGCGCCAAGCUUCUGGCAUUCUCUGUGACAAGAGAGUGCCACAAAAGCUAAAAGGCAAGUUCUACAGGACGGCGGUUCGACCCGCAAUGUUGUAUGGCGCGGAGUGUUGGCCGACUAAAAGGCGACAUGUUCAACAGUUAGGUGUGGCGGAGAUGCGUAUGUUGAGAUGGAUGUGUGGCCACACGAGGAAGGAUCGAGUCCAG
This 1260-nucleotide ribosomal RNA is filed under the name Triticum aestivum (bread wheat). RNAcentral's name for it is "partial small subunit ribosomal RNA". Lineage: Eukaryota; Viridiplantae; Streptophyta; Magnoliopsida; Poales; Poaceae. The record is from RNAcentral.